This 253-nucleotide ribosomal RNA is filed under the name uncultured bacterium. Its description in RNAcentral is "partial 16S ribosomal RNA". It matches the Rfam family "Bacterial small subunit ribosomal RNA", at positions 524 to 776 of the family's 1533-position model. The record is from RNAcentral.
UACGGGGGGGGCAAGCGUUGUUCGGAAUUACUGGGCGUAAAGGGCUCGUAGGCGGCCAACUAAGUCAGACGUGAAAUCCCCAGGCUCAACCUGGGAACUGCGUCUGAUACUGGUUGGCUUGAAUCCGGGAGAGGGAUGCAGAAUUCCAGGUGUAGCGGUGAAAUGCGUAGAUAUCGGGAGGAACACCAGUGGCGAAGGCGACUUCCUGGCCUGUUCUUGACGCUGAGGCGCGAAAGCUAGGGGAGCAAACGGG